This 253-nucleotide ribosomal RNA is filed under the name uncultured bacterium. RNAcentral's name for it is "partial 16S ribosomal RNA". It matches the Rfam family "Bacterial small subunit ribosomal RNA", at positions 524 to 776 of the family's 1533-position model. The record is from RNAcentral.
UACGUAGGGUGCAAGCGUUAAUCGGAAUUACUGGGCGCAAAGCGUGCGCAGGCGGUUUUGUAAGUCUGACGUGAAAUCCCCGGGCUCAACCUGGGAAUUGCGUUGGAGACUGCAAGGCUAGAAUCUGGCAGAGGGGGGUAGAAUUCCACGUGUAGCAGUGAAAUGCGUAGAGAUGUGGAGGAACACCGAUGGCGAAGGCAGCCCCCUGGGUCAAGAUUGACGCUCAUGCACGAAAGCGUGGGGAGCAAACAGG